CCUACGGGUGGCUGCAGUGGGGAAUAUUGGACAAUGGGGGAAACCCUGAUCCAGCAAUGCCGCGUGAGUGAAGAAGGCCUUAGGGUUGUAAAGCUCUUUCAACUGUGAAGAUGAUGACUGUAACAGUAGAAGAAGCCCCGGCUAACUCCGUGCCAGCAGCCGCGGUAAUACGGAGGGGGCUAGCGUUGUUCGGAAUUACUGGGCGUAAAGCGCGCGUAGGCGGCGAAGCAAGUUAGAGGUGAAAUCCCCGGGCUCAACCUGGGAAUGGCCUAUAAUACUGCUUUGCUUGAGUUCGGAAGAGGGUAGUGGAAUUUCCAGUGUAGAGGUGAAAUUCGUAGAUAUUGGAAAGAACACCAGUGGCGAAGGCGACUACCUGGUCCGAUACUGACGCUGAGGUGCGAAAGCGUGGGGAGCAAACAGGAUUAGAUACCCUAGUAGUC
This 440-nucleotide ribosomal RNA is filed under the name uncultured Alphaproteobacteria bacterium. Its description in RNAcentral is "bacterial SSU rRNA". It matches the Rfam family "Bacterial small subunit ribosomal RNA", at positions 338 to 795 of the family's 1533-position model. The record is from RNAcentral. Lineage: Bacteria; Pseudomonadati; Pseudomonadota; Alphaproteobacteria.